Molecule: long non-coding RNA, 1571 nt
Filed under: Medicago truncatula (barrel medic)
Lineage: Eukaryota; Viridiplantae; Streptophyta; Magnoliopsida; Fabales; Fabaceae
Description: long non-coding RNA (MTRU_LNC004738)
Source: RNAcentral
GGAUACCUUACAGUCACCCAUGAGUGGACUAAUGAGGUAAAACAAUCGAAGAUAAAUUCAGUUAUCAGCUCUUUUGUAGAAUAAAGAUCAAUAAACAUUCUUAAUGUGUACAUCUCUUUGUACCACGCUCGAAAAUUUCAGUUAAUCAUAUAUAUGGUUUGUGUAAUCACAUUUUUUCACUGCGUGAUCACUGUUUAAAAUGUGCGUGACCACUAUUUUUACACUUAGUUAAUCAAAUAAAUUCUGAAAAAUUAGUGGUCACGCGAUUAAAAAAAUGUGGUCACUUGUUUAACUGAAAUUUUUCAGAGUGGUACUUGGUAAAACUUGUCUAGGCUGAAAAUGUGAAUAAGUUGUUGGAGUAAGGAGGUGACCGCCAUCAAGGAAUCGCAUAAUCCUUGACAAUUUUAUUUGAUAAAUUGGAGGAAUGAGUCUUUGCAUGAACUGUAUAAAUUAUGAAGAUAAGGUGAGGCAAUCAUGAAGAUAUAUUAUGAAGAAUGCACAUUAUGAUGUUCAAAACCUCUUUUAUAUGUGUGAAUUCUAUCCUCAUUAUAUGACACGGGCAUUUGAAGGGCACGGUCUAAUGAUUGUCUUAAUUAUAUGACAGGAACAAACCAUUGGUUUGGUAGUGGCAGAUGAUAGACAAUUCUUGGAGACUAUUCGGCAUUGGAAUUUUUAUCUGCAGAGGCUGAUGCAAGAAUUCCUAAAUGAUGGUUACCAUAAGUUGAAAGCUUGUUAUGUUUUUUGCUUAUGUUGUUGACAUAAGGAAAGAAAAUCUUUCCUCUUGCAUUGUUUUCAACAUACAACAAAGUAAUGGUCUUCUUGGACUUGCUAUCGAGUUUAAAACCUUUUCGAUGGUUGUUCACUGACAGAGUCAGAUCGCAACUUCUCAUUACGACUAAGGAAGCCUCAUCCUUACUCAUAUCUCUCUUGCCAAGGAAGGACCCUCUGCCAAUUUCUAACUCACCGUAACAUUUUCGAACAACACCCAUUUCUAGCUUCUACGUCUAAUGAUCCCUUAACCGAUCGAUGAGUAGUUUGCUCUUCCUAUAUUGUGCAGAUUUCAGUUAUAUGGCUAUAGCUGAAUUCAUUGCCUUUCUAAAUGAAUCUAUAGACUUCUCACAUGAAUAGAACCCUGAGUUACUUAUCUGGCUGAAUUUUGGUAACUUUGUGUUGCUUGUUACUGCUGGAUCUAGCACCAAUCUUGACAAGAUAAUCAUGGCACGUGUUCCCUUCAUGCAACAUUUGAUGCAAUUGAAGACUCCAAUAUUUGAUCAUUUAUUGACGAAUAACGACUAUCUCACGGCCUAAAUGUUGUGUAGUAACACCAACACUUUGAAACAUUUAGAGUGUGUUUUGAGUCGAUGUAACAUGAUUUUACGUGAACCUUCUUUCCAACACAUGUGAACGCCAUGUAUCAAGACUACAAUCUCAACAUGCAGAUGAUUGAGACACACCAAUAUUUUUGUAGUAUCCUCAAUAAAGUCUCUCAUAGUAUCUCGAAUUAGACCACCAAAUCCGAACACCCUAGGGUUUGUUAGAGAGCUCCCAUCAACAUUAAUGACAUAUGUGCC